RNAcentral lists this ribosomal RNA (370 nucleotides) under uncultured bacterium. Its description in RNAcentral is "partial 16S ribosomal RNA". It matches the Rfam family "Bacterial small subunit ribosomal RNA", at positions 338 to 723 of the family's 1533-position model. The record is from RNAcentral.
CCUACGGGUGGCAGCAGUGGGGAAUAUUGGGCAAUGGGCGCAAGCCUGACCCAGUAACGCCGCGUGAAGGAAGAAGGCUUUCGGGUUGUAAACUUCUUUUUAUAGGGAAGAGCAUACGGCGGUCCCUCUUGAAUAAGCCACGUCUAACUACGUGCCAGCAGCCGAUGUAAUACGGGGGGGGAAAGCUUUGUCCGGAUUUACUGGGUGUAAAGGGCGUGCAGGGGGGAAAACAAGUCAGAUGUGAAAUCCCGUGGCUCAACCGCGGAACUGCAUUUGAAACUGUUUUUCUUGAGUGACGGAGAGGUAAGCGGAAUUCCUUGUGUAGCGGUGAAAUGCGUAGAUAUAAGGAGGAACACCAGUGGCGAAGGCG